Long non-coding RNA from Siniperca chuatsi (mandarin fish), 4463 nucleotides. RefSeq lists it as uncharacterized. NCBI's taxonomy places the organism in Eukaryota, Metazoa, Chordata, Actinopteri, Centrarchiformes, Sinipercidae. The record is from RefSeq and is a predicted model, not a curated record. The transcript has 4 exons.
CACAUAUAUGACAUUUAACACGCUGAACACGACUCAAUUUAACCGCCUACUCUUGCUCUCUGAAUCUGAUUAAUCAGCUAUUAAGCUCUUAGUCACCUGUUCCCGUUCUUAUCAUUAGUCAUUUUUCAAAAAUAUUUUCACUGCGAUGGAACAAGAUUACUGGAACACUGUAUGUGGAAAGGUUUACUGGUGUAUGGUUCAAUUAGUGAAUCACAUUCACUUUAAGAUUAAUUAGCAUAAUUGCAUUUUUGUCUGCAGGAAGACAGAAAUGUUGAUAUGUGGGAAACAGAGCUGUAGAUGUCUCAAAUUAGUCACACGCAUGUGAUGACCAAGCAGAAAGAGCUUAAUCUUUCUUCCAAGAAAAUGUCUGUGAAUGACUUGAGAAUGGAGUCGCAUUACUGUAGGUGUGUAGUACAGCUCCUACCUCAUCCCCUGGAACAAAAUGGGUAACCUCAGAUCCACAGUCCACCACUACACCAGACACAUCACGGCCCAGAAUCAGAGGGAACUCACUAUCAUUGUCCAUCACAGACAUUGGAUCUCUUCUUAAUUUCAGCAAUUUAGCCCCAUAACCACCUGAAAACGGAGAACGUGAGCAGAGUUGCUUCACUUUAAGCCGGUUACCAUCCAAACUACAAGUGAGUUUAGCUGCUGCUGCUGCCCUGCUGUUGACCAUUAUUGAUCACUGUUGGCAGGAUGGCUGCUGCAAGACCUACAUGGCUUCCCAUCAGGAGAUCUCAUGAGGCAAAAAAAAGACCGAAAGGGAGAGAGGUGAGAAAAGAACGAGAGCAGGGGGUCUGUGGCUGUGUGAUCAUGAUUCAGCAUGAAACCAGGCAACAAACAGUGCUGUCAUUAUGAUCACAGCUCCCAGGGGAAAGAGGACACACUGCAAAUUGGGUGCUUUGUCUAUGCUGGCUCAUUACAGUGGGUCUCUCUAAUGAAUUAUACCCAUGGCUGCUGCUCAAAAAAAAAAAAAAAUUCAGUUCUAUGUUACUGAGAGUAGAGGGUGACAUCUUUAAGGCAACUCCCUGACAAAAAUAACCACUACUGAAAUGUCCUUGUUGAUCAGCUACCCAAGACAAGACUGGGUAAGACUAUGAGAGCAGAAUCUGUCUUAAAUAGUUUAUUUCAGGAGGGUCAUUCUUUCCCAGAAACACCAUGUGUAGCUUUUCUAGGCCUCCCUUCCAUCUUGGGACCUGUGCCCCAAAUCACAUGGUUGCUCUAAAAAAAAUACAGCUAUGAUCUAAUUUAAUUUAAUGGUCUUGUGGCGAGGGCUGUCAAUAUCUGACUAAGGAGACUUUCACCCUCCCUCAGGUCACCUAUCUCUCCUAUCUAUAUAAAAUAUCUCAUAGCAAAGUGAUAGUUCUUUAUUAUGUGCAUUUUUCUCACCUGUUGUUCCACGCAUUCAUUUUCUGAUUUUUUUUUUCUUUCACCAAUCAUCCUUCUCCUUUUAAGUUCUUCCCAGAGUCAAACAAACCAAUUAGCAGACAAAUCUCCAGAUACUUGGCACACUACAGCUAAACAGCGAGCCUGUGGUGAGGUUGGUCAUGAAAGGCCACUCACUGCUUGGAUAAUGAUCACACAAGACUUGUGUAUUAUAUACAGCUUCUACUAAGCCACGACAAAAUGAAUGAAAGAAGGACUGUGCACCACAACCUCUCACCAGCUGGGCUCUGAGAUAAUAUUUUUAGAAUCAACGAUUGGUUUCUCUCCUUGGUAACUGCCCCAUUUUUUCCUGACUAGGUCAGACACAAGUACAGUGGAGACUGACUGUGAUGUAAAGAAAUCUAAAGGAAACCCAAAGGUUUCUUUAUGCUUCUCUAUAUGUCAUCCCUGUUGGUUUUACAUGGAUCUAAACGGUGUCAAAUUAACUGGCUUUUCAUUUUCUGCCUGUGAGAUAAGUGUGUGUUGUUGUUGUGUGUUAGCAGAAGAAUAUGUGUUUUAAUGCGCUAGACCUACAGGUCACACAAGGGAUUCACAAAAAUAAUAUUAGAUUUGUUCACUGUAGUGGCCAUAUUAUGUGCAAGUGUAACUGGAUUUCCUUGUUGGUGUAUUCCUCCGAGGCACAUCAGUGAACAUGCAUUCACAGUAGGGGUUAGACAACAUACAGGAUCAACACACCUGGAGAAUGCAGACUAUUCAGAACAUGGAUGUAUAUACUACUGUAAGUUUAUAAGAGUUUGUAAGCUUAUAGGAUUUAUUUUAUAAUAUAAAUUUAUAACCUUAUAUUUUAAAAUGUACUCUCAGACAAAACUAGGUCCAUGUAAAAUGCUUUUAUCUACCAAUACAUGAAGCUAAAGUGCCCACCCACCUGACUGACAGGGUUUGAAGGUACGGGAAGGGAAAGUCUCGUGCAAAUACAAGAAUGAGCUUUUGCACAAAAGAAUAUGCACACUACUUACUCACAUUUUAAGACAUGCAAAUUAAACCUGUUGUGCUUAUAUACAUGAUUUUUUAAAAACAUAUUAGAACAAACAUAAUGCAACAUGUAUGCUAUGUUGGCAUAUUUAUAAUACUCAUAUACUUUUUAUGAGACAAAGACAAAUGAUGGUGAUGUAAAUGAAAGAAUGGUAGAAAUGAAGGAAUGAUUCACAUACAUCUUACAAUAACAGCACAACUACAAGAUGCAUAUCAACAUGCAUGGAUUGAUGUUCACCAAUAUGGUACCCUAAAAAGUGCAGUAUUAAAUAAAUAAAAAAAGAUAUUAUGAAAUAUAUAACAAUAUAAAUAUAAUGCAAAAAAAAUAUAUUAAAAGAACAAUAAAUUGGGAAAUAAUUUAAGAAAUCACUAGAUUAUUACACAGCAUCAAAGUGAAGAGCCAGCAUUAGCAUUGUUGGCUAGCUCUUAUUGGCUUGAGCAAUCACAGAGGAAAUCUGUCUGUCUUUUUGCUCUUCACAGAGUUGUGAGUGUUUCUCCCAGUAACAUCUUAAGAAUAAAAAUACUGUCAAGGCAAAACUGAGUUAACCAGCUAGCUGAUGCCAUUAAUACUGCAUGGCUCUUCACUUUGAUGCUGAGUGAUAAUAUAAACUCACAAUCCAGCUAGUUAGGUGAGAGUAAAGGUGAGGAUAAAGGAGAGUUUAGUUACUAGUUAUUUAGCUAACUGGCUAAAUUUGUUACUGGUUGUUGAGCUUACUUCCUUAAUAGAAGCAUGAGGCAUGAUAAGCUUUUUGAAAAAUGAACUCCAAUAAAACUCUGGUAGGCUAUUAUGAAAAUAAGAAUGUAAAUAUAAAUAAAUAAAUAUUAUUAUUAUUGGUUCAUUUAUAUAUUUUACACCUUUUGUUCAUGUGAUUAUAUAUUUCAUUAUUACUUAUUGAUUUAAUUAACUUCCAUAUAUUACCAAAAUAAAACCAUGAUGCAACACAUGACUAUGUCCUAUUGUUGUAUUCCUAGGGUGUCUACACGAACACGCACACACACAACCUUGUACUUCUGUCCUUGUGAGGACCGUCAUUGACCUAAUGCAUCCCUAGCCCCUUACCCUAACCUUAACCUAAUUCUAACCUAACCCUUAACCUUCAAACAGCCCUUUGAAGUUGUGAGGACUGGCCAAAAUGUCCUCACUUUCCAAAAAUGUCCUCCCUCCACAGGUAAAAAACAUCUUCCAGUCUUCACUAUCUAGCAAUUACAAGUGUACACACACACACACACACACACACACACACACACACACACACACACUAUGGCCAAUCCACAGCAGUGACACAGGAAACACAAAGUGCUCUGCUGUUCAUCUCACUGAUAGCAUCUUAUCUACAGGUUUCCUCCACACUGCAAGGACAGCAAUGGAAAUAUAAUGCACUGUUCAGUCUCUGCUUAUUCAGGGGAUUAGGAAGAACUAUACUGUAUAUGCUGACAUCAGAGUUAUUGCUAUCAGUUUAAAACUUUGACUUACACACUGUUCCCCAACACACACACACAAUAGACAUUUAUUCUAAAAGAAGAUAUAAACAACUUUAUAAAUUGCAGGAAGAUUGACAGAAAAACAGAUAUGAGUAUGUGCAUAUGUUCCCAAAUAUGUUCUUCAUGUCCUUAUAUGUUAGGACACUAUUAACCACUUUUCUCUAGUUUGUAGUCUCUUUAUUUCUUUUAUUUCACAAGUGUCAAAUUUAGCUGCCAAUAGACACAAACCUUUACCAAGAUGAUGUUUGAAUAGUAGGACAGAAGCUGGAAUAUCAAAUAUGUAUUUACUUAGAAACACAUUCUUGUGACAGUGUUGAUGUAGUUUUCUUAAUGGCUGUAGAUGAACUUACAAGCAUGACUUAAGUGUCUUAAACUCAUUUGAUUUGUCUCUUGUUGAGAAAGUGCAUAAAGUUGCAUUUUUGAUAUGUAAAAUAAAGAAAACCUUCCAAAAAUGCUGUAAAACAGUAGUUUAUAAAAAUGUAAAAGUAUAUAAAAUUGUAUUUAUUGUAUUUCUGUAAGCAUAUGUGAAUGUAUUCUAUCUUACAACUAAGUUAAGUACAGCU